Long non-coding RNA from Bombyx mori (domestic silkworm), 525 nucleotides. RefSeq lists it as uncharacterized. The transcript is spliced from 2 exons. The record is from RefSeq and is a predicted model, not a curated record. Lineage: Eukaryota; Metazoa; Arthropoda; Insecta; Lepidoptera; Bombycidae.
AGCAAUUAGCACCAGUGUGAUAUUAAUAGAGCUUACUACCGCCAUCAGAAGGUAUAAAUACAUUACCUGUAAAGAAUAUCAAUGGAAUGUUUGGGCAGUAUUGUCUGUUUGUUGGGUUUGUUCAUGCCGCACACCAGCUUCGCCAAGAUCUUGUUGUGAGCUAUACCGGCCGAACAUCGAAAACCUUAAACAUUAAGCAAAGCAUGCAAGAGUAUCGACUAGAUUGAUGGCAGCUUCUCGUUAUGACGUCUGUAAGAUCUGUCCAGCAUAUAACACCCAGCAGACUAAGAUGACUGCUACACAUACAUCAAUUAAUCUUUUUAUAAUUUUUUUACUCGCCAUAAACAUUAUAAAAAAAAAUAAACUUCAAUUCCAUCUUAUCAUUAGAUCACUGAUAACAUCCAAAUGCCGUUGGAAGUCAGCUUGUAUAAAUUUACAAUCAGAAAAUUAUUCAUAAUUUUGCUGUGACAAUUUUUAAUAUUGAUUGUAAUUAAUGACUAGUGCAAUAUAAGGUACGUCCAAUAA